UUACCGAUUUUAAUAUAUUUAUCUAACAACUUUUAAUUUAUGAUUAUUAAACAAUUUCACAUAUUUUACAGCAAACCAUUGCCCCCAUUUUAGUAUAG
RNAcentral lists this ribosomal RNA (98 nucleotides) under Lethenteron mitsukurii. RNAcentral describes it as "partial 16S ribosomal RNA". Lineage: Eukaryota; Metazoa; Chordata; Hyperoartia; Petromyzontiformes; Petromyzontidae. The record is from RNAcentral.